Molecule: long non-coding RNA, 2267 nt
Organism: Taeniopygia guttata (zebra finch)
Lineage: Eukaryota; Metazoa; Chordata; Aves; Passeriformes; Estrildidae
Source: Ensembl
GGAGCCUUGCUCUCACAGCCUUCUGAGUCAAGUCUAUUCAUUCCCGUCCUGCCUCGACAGUGACAGAAGAAUGUUCCUCAGGAAGAACCACUUUUGCCUUUCUGACCCAUGACUGAAUGGUGAAAGCAAGUAUCGCCAUCAAUUUAAGAAUUGGAAAAAAACCAAAAAACCCAGGAAUGGCGCGAAUUAUGUUUAUUACCUAUAACACCUGGCAACCUCCAGCAUCCGGCGAGCAGGAAGAUGAGGAGAAGGAGAAGGAGAAGGAGAAGGAGAAGGAGAAGGAGAAGGAGAAGGAGAAGGAGAAGGAGAAGGAGAAGGAGAAGGAGAAGGAGAAGGAGAAGGAGAAGGAGAAGGAGAAGGAGAAGGAGAAGGAGAAGGAGAAGGAGAAGGAGAAGGAGAAGGAGAAAGAAGGAGAAGGAGAAGGAGAAGGAGAAGGAGAAGGAGAAGGAGAAGGAGAAGGAGAAGGAGAAGGAGAAGGAGAAGGAGAAGGAGAAGUGAGGGCUUGCCGCGGCUGCCCGUGCUCUCCACUGCCCGCCCGCAGCCGGGCAAGAGCACAGUGCCCACGCUGCCUGUCCCGGCGCGGCACAGCUUGGCGCAAUAGGUUCAGACACGCGCCCUCCCCACCCGUGGUGCUGCUUUGCUCAUCUGCAGCCAGCCCUGCUGAGACCUCCCCAAAUGGGCCCUCUCCCUCACACUGUUGCUGUUGGGAGAGAAAGCACCUGGCGCCUGGCAAUACGGCUGCUGUUCUUUUCCUUGAGAGUGAUUUUCCCUCUUCAAGGAGAAAGGAUCUCUGAAAACUCCUACAUGGUACCAAAAAUGGGAAAGUGCAUGAAUCCUAUGUUAUCAGAUAGUUAUGGGGUUUUUCUUUGGGAAAUGACUGCAAGAAUACGUGGGAUUCCUUCAAAUCAGAGGGUUUUGGGCACAUUGCAAAAGGCAGGCCUCAGAGACAGCAAGAUGGUGAUUAGAGCUAAGCAGUAGUUAUAAGAGUUGUCAGCAAAAAAAUUAUACAAGAAGUAGAAAGGACAAAUAAAACAAUAGUCUGUGUAUUAACGCUUGGGUAGAAUAACUUCUUAAGUUGCAGAAAAGUAUAUCUGGUGAGAUAUUAAGAAGGUCUAAGCUUAAUAAUGGAGCUCUGUGCAUUGUAUCUUGAGGCUUACAAGCAAGUAUUGUAUUCGAAAUAAGCAAGCAUUGUUUUAACUAAAGGUACGUGUGCUUACAGUGAUUGGCUAGAACUACUGUCAAUAUGCUUUUGCUUUGUGUGACUGGUCAAAAAGUUUAUAAAGUAAGUUGUAACAUUAAGUUCUUGGUCUGUUGCCUAGAUGUAAGAUGCUGACAUCUUCCCAUUGUCAUAACCAUGUAAUGAGACUGAUGCUAAAAAAUAAACAGCUCGAGACGCAUACCACAGCAGUCUCGUCCCGUUCAUGACUUGUAUAUAGCCCCCAGCCGGCGAUAGAAUAGAAUUUUGACGAAUUAAAUAAAACUCCUAAAUAUUUUCAAGUGGAUCCACUGUCUCCAGUUUCAUAUAAUAAUUUAUCAGUGUUACCAAAACAUGUAAUUCCCUAUCUUAAUCUCAAUUAGAAGUUAUUUUACCAGGCACACUGCAAACUAAAGCAUGUAUUGCAAAGAAGUGAAACACCCUGAUGUACUCUCUACCUAAUUAAUUUGUAGGAGACUCUAGCUCAAAUUUUGGACACUAGGCUGCCGCUGGGUACAAAAUGUCUGCUCUGGUAUCUUCCUCUGAGACCACCUGCAGGCUGAGGCUGCAGUGACAGCAUAGUGCUCCUGACAUUUCAUGGUGUCAUUAGUGCAGUAGAAAAGAUCUUCAAAAAAAACACCAAAAAAAACCUCAAGGCAAAUGCAUUUCUAUAUGUCUACAUGUAUGUGUAAAGAUAAAGUCUCAGACAACUGAGCUCAGUGCAUAUCUCAUUGCUUCUGUGAGUCCUGAGAGGCUGAGAAUAUCUUCAGUGGUGAGAACCAAAGGUCUGUCUGUGUGGUUUCAAAGACUAGCAAUUGAGUUGAUUCCCAGAAAGAGUGAGAACAGAACAACUAUAUAUGACACAUCUCCUGACUGUUCUAAUUUCUGGCUGUUUUUAGCUCAGGGGAUUUUCUCUAGCUCAUGUGUUUUGGCUAUUCAGCAGCCCUCAGUAGACUUAACUUCCAAGUGCUUGUCCAAUCUGUCCUUGAAUUCAUGUAACCCUUUUCCAUGCAUAAAAGUUUAAGUCUGUGUUUAUACUAUUAAACUAAACAGAGACAGUUUACAAGUCCAA